Molecule: ribosomal RNA, 660 nt
Filed under: bacterium BAR78
Lineage: Bacteria
Description: bacterial SSU rRNA
Rfam family: Bacterial small subunit ribosomal RNA
Source: RNAcentral
CCGCGGUCUAAUACUGGAUAUGACUCAUCACCGCAUGGUGUGUGGGUGGAAGGAUUUAUUGGUUUUGGAUGGACUCGCGGCCUAUCAGCUUGUUGGUGAGGUAAUGGCUUACCAAGGCGACGACGGGUAGCCGGCCUGAGAGGGUGACCGGCCACACUGGGACUGAGACACGGCCCAGACUCCUACGGGAGGCAGCAGUGGGGAAUAUUGCACAAUGGGCGCAAGCCUGAUGCAGCGACGCCGCGUGAGGGAUGAAGGCCUUCGGGUUGUAAACCUCUUUCAGUAGGGAAGAAGCCUUUUGGGGUGACGGUACCUGCAGAAGAAGCGCCGGCUAACUACGUGCCAGCAGCCGCGGUAAUACGUAGGGCGCAAGCGUUAUCCGGAAUUAUUGGGCGUAAAGAGCUCGUAGGCGGUUUGUCGCGUCUGCCGUGAAAGUCCGGGGCUUAACCCCGGAUCUGCGGUGGGUACGGGCAGACUAGAGUGCAGUAGGGGAGACUGGAAUUCCUGGUGUAGCGGUGAAAUGCGCAGAUAUCAGGAGGAACACCGAUGGCGAAGGCAGGUCUCUGGGCUGUAACUGACGCUGAGGAGCGAAAGCAUGGGGAGCGAACAGGAUUAGAUACCCUGGUAGUCCAUGCCGUAAACGUUGGGCACUAGGUGUGG